GACGAACGCUGGCGGCGUGCCUAAUACAUGCAAGUCGAACGAACUCUGGUAUUGAUUGGUGCUUGCAUCAUGAUUUACAUUUGAGUGAGUGGCGAACUGGUGAGUAACACGUGGGAAACCUGCCCAGAAGCGGGGGAUAACACCUGGAAACAGAUGCUAAUACCGCAUAACAACUUGGACCGCAUGGUCCGAGUUUGAAAGAUGGCUUCGGCUAUCACUUUUGGAUGGUCCCGCGGCGUAUUAGCUAGAUGGUGGGGUAACGGCUCAUCAUGGCAAUGAUACGUAGCCGACCUGAGAGGGUAAUCGGCCACAUUGGGACUGAGACACGGCCCAAACUCCUACGGGAGGCAGCAGUAGGGAAUCUUCCACAAUGGACGAAAGUCUGAUGGAGCAACGCCGCGUGAGUGAAGAAGGGUUUCGGCUCGUAAAACUCUGUUGUUAAAGAAGAACAUAUCUGAGAGUAACUGUUCAGGUAUUGACGGUAUUUAACCAGAAAGCCACGGCUAACUACGUGCCAGCAGCCGCGGUAAUACGCAGGUGGCAAGCGUUGUCCGGAUUUAUUGGGCGUAAAGCGAGCGCAGGCGGUUUUUUAAGUCUGAUGUGAAAGCCUUCGGCUCAACCGAAGAAGUGCAUCGGAAACUGGGAAACUUGAGUGCAGAAGAGGACAGUGGAACUCCAUGUGUAGCGGUGAAAUGCGUAGAUAUAUGGAAGAACACCAGUGGCGAAGGCGGCUGUCUGGUCUGUAACUGACGCUGAGGCUCGAAAGUAUGGGUAGCAAACAGGAUUAGAUACCCUGGUAGUCCAUACCGUAAACGAUGAAUGCUAAGUGUUGGAGGGUUUCCGCCCUUCAGUGCUGCAGCUAACGCAUUAAGCAUUCCGCCUGGGGAGUACGGCCGCAAGGCUGAAACUCAAAGGAAUUGACGGGGGCCCGCACAAGCGGUGGAGCAUGUGGUUUAAUUCGAAGCUACGCGAAGAACCUUACCAGGUCUUGACAUACUAUGCAAAUCUAAGAGAUUAGACGUUCCCUUCGGGGACAUGGAUAC
RNAcentral lists this ribosomal RNA (1043 nucleotides) under bacterium HYX-A10. RNAcentral describes it as "bacterial SSU rRNA". It matches the Rfam family "Bacterial small subunit ribosomal RNA", at positions 28 to 1035 of the family's 1533-position model. The record is from RNAcentral.